CUCUCCUGCCCUGCUCACUGUCUGACUAGCCACCCACUGUAACACCGGGUCGGUUUUGUAAACAUAUUAACUUGUUUCCGUGACUGCAAAUAUCCUGUGACUAAGAAUGCCUGAUUUCCUGGCAAUGCAGCCCAGCAGCUCUCAGCCUCAUCUGACCCAGCCCCUAUUCAAGAUGGAGACGCCCUGGUUCAGACGCCUCUGACAGAUGCUCCAAGAUGAUGUGAAGCAGAUACAAGUGCCCUUCUUGUCUCAUGGACUCAAUCAGGAGAUAUGAAGAUUGACAACUGAUUGGCAAAAGUGAAGUCACUGUGUGACCUGUCCUGAAAAGAUGGUGGCUGCAUCUAGAAACAGUGACGUGUUUGGGGAACAAUGGAGUAGAGUCAGAGACGCACCUACUAAGACAUUUUGGCUGCUGGGCACCUGAACAUGAGCAAUGUGAAGCUUCCGGUCAUAAAAGGCCCUGCAGCUUCCUCCAGGUUCUUUUGGAGCACUUGACUCUGCAGACACCCCCAGGCCCCAUGAUCAAGAGUCCUG
Molecule: long non-coding RNA, 534 nt
Filed under: Homo sapiens (human)
Lineage: Eukaryota; Metazoa; Chordata; Mammalia; Primates; Hominidae
Description: HSALNT0253005
Source: RNAcentral